UACGGAGUGUGCAAGCGUUAUCCGGAAUCACUGGGCGUAAAGGGCGCGUAGGUGGUCUGUUAAGUCUGGCGUUAAAGCCUGGGGCUCAACCCCAGAUCAGCGUUGGAUACUGGCAGGCUAGACGGUUGGAGAGGCGAGUGGAAUUACCAGUGUAGCGGUGGAAUGCGUAGAUACUGGUAGGAACACCCAUUGCGAAGGCAGCUCGCUGGACAACACGUGACACUGAGGCGCGAAAGUGUGGGGAGCAAACCCGGAUUAGAUA
RNAcentral lists this ribosomal RNA (262 nucleotides) under uncultured prokaryote. RNAcentral describes it as "partial 16S ribosomal RNA". It matches the Rfam family "Bacterial small subunit ribosomal RNA", at positions 524 to 784 of the family's 1533-position model. The record is from RNAcentral.